GACGAACGCUGGCGGCGUGCCUAAUACAUGCAAGUCGAACGCAGUGGGGACGGGUGAGUAACACGUGGGUAACCUCCCAUCAGUGUGUAUAACACUUGGAAACAGGUGCUAAACCGAUACUGAUGGAUGGACCCGCGGUGCAUUAGCUAGUUGGCGAGGUAACGGCUCACCAAGGCCACGAUGCAUACCCGACCUGGGGGGGUGAUCGGCCACACUGAGACUGAGACACGGCCCAGACUCCUAGGGGAGGCAGCAGUAGGGAAUCUUCGGCAAUGGACGAAAGUCUGACCGAGCAACGCCGCGUGAGUGAAGAUGGUUUGCGGAUCGUAAAGCUCUGUUGUUAGAGAAGCGGUAUCUAACCAGAAAGCGACGGCUAUCUACGUGCCAGCCGCCGCGGUAAUUC
This 403-nucleotide ribosomal RNA is filed under the name uncultured bacterium. RNAcentral's name for it is "partial 16S ribosomal RNA". It matches the Rfam family "Bacterial small subunit ribosomal RNA", at positions 28 to 526 of the family's 1533-position model. The record is from RNAcentral.